This is a non-coding RNA of Sus scrofa (pig), 487 nucleotides long. Lineage: Eukaryota; Metazoa; Chordata; Mammalia; Artiodactyla; Suidae. The record is from RefSeq and is a predicted model, not a curated record.
AUGAUUUCUUUUUGCCAAUCAAGGAUGUUAAUGAUUGGAUUGGGCCACCAAAUAAUAACGGGGUCAUUAAGGAAGUUACUAUUAAUGCAGAUACUACCUGUGGCAAUGACUGGGUCUGUGAGCAUCGAUGGCGUCAGAUAAGGAACAUGGUUUGGUUCCGUAACGUGGUGGACGGCCAACCUUUUGCAAACUGGUGGGAUAACGGAAGCAACCAGGUAGCUUUUGGAAGAGGAACAGAGGAUUCAUUGUCUUUAACAAUGAUGAUUGGCAAUUAUCUUCAACUUUGCAAACUGGUCUUCCUGGUGGCACAUACUGUGAUGUUAUCUCUGGAGAUAAAGUUGGUAACAGUUGUACAGGAAUUAAAGUCUAUGUUUCCAGUGAUGGCACAGCUCAGUUUUCUAUUAGUAACUCUGCCGAAGAUCCAUUUAUUGCAAUUCAUGCUGAAUCCAAUUGUAAAAUUUGAAUUAAAUACAUCUUCCAAGAGCAA